Long non-coding RNA from Oryzias melastigma (Indian medaka), 570 nucleotides. RefSeq lists it as uncharacterized. The record is from RefSeq and is a predicted model, not a curated record. The transcript has 2 exons. NCBI's taxonomy places the organism in Eukaryota, Metazoa, Chordata, Actinopteri, Beloniformes, Adrianichthyidae.
GUUUUGGGGACGUCCUUUAUACCAAGGAGGGGGUCGUCCGAGUUCGGCAGCCGCAGGAUGCACGGAGCAAACACGAUGGCCAGAGAACUGGGCGUCAUCUUGUUGUGCUGCUCCUCCUUUGCAACCCUGAAGCCCAGAGCAGACAUCAACAACCAUCGUCUCACUGAAUGUGAGCGAACAGGAAGAACAUCUCUGCUCCUCACCCACGGCGUGCAGGAAGUCGGUGUAGAGCGAGUAGGUCAUGAGCGGGUCGGGCAGCUCCCGGAGCCAGCGCUUGACCAGGCCUGUGAUGAUGUGGAUGGGGUAGUUCUCCAGCUGAGCCUCUUCAGGAUCUGACGCAGCAAAAUGAAGAGAAAAUCAGCUGGAAGCUGAAACGAGGAACGCCACCAUUCUGGGGUUUCAGAGCCGAAUCGGAGGGAAAGUGAAUCGCCGCGUCGCUGCUGCGUAUCAGCAUGUUGACAGUCAAAGUGUCAAAAACAGGCUGAGCUACAUUUAAGUAUUGUUUGAUUACAUCUAGAGCUGUCAAAUGAUCCAAAAACCAAAUUAAAUCCAGAUAUUUCAAUGCGUUAA